This 440-nucleotide ribosomal RNA is filed under the name uncultured bacterium. RNAcentral describes it as "partial 16S ribosomal RNA". It matches the Rfam family "Bacterial small subunit ribosomal RNA", at positions 338 to 795 of the family's 1533-position model. The record is from RNAcentral.
CCUACGGGUGGCAGCAGUGGGGGAUAUUGCACAAUGGGGGAAACCCUGAUGCAGCGACGCCGCGUGGGUGAAGAAGCGCCUCGGCGCGUAAAGCCCUGUCAGCAGGGAAGAAAAUGACGGUACCUGAAGAAGAAGCCCGGGCUAACUACGUGCCGGCAGCCGCGGUAAUAGGUAGGGGGCAAGCGUUAUCCGGAUUUACUGGGUGUAAAGGGGGCGCAGACGGCGAUGCAAGCCAGGAGUGAAAGCCCGGGGCCCAACCCCGGGACUGCUCGUGGAACUGCGUGGCUAGAGUGCAGGAGGGGCAGGCGGAAUUCCUGGUGUAGCGGUGAAAUGCGUAGAUAUCAGGAGGAACACCGGUGGCGAAGGCGGCCUGCUGGACUGCAACUGACGUUGAGGCCCGAAAGCGUGGGGAGCAAACAGGAUUAGAUACCCCUGUAGUC